GCCUUGUGCCUCUAUUGUAAGUCACUCAUUCUCCAGGCCUCUUUGGACCUAUUCCUCUCCACAGCUCAAAACAGCUAUGCAAUCAGACUUUCCCGGCCUGGUUCCUAUUGAGAAUGGGGUCUCCCAAUAGACCACUUACUUGGCAGCAAGAUAUUAUUGCCAAUGAGGAGAAGAGAGGAAAGAACCUUCUCCCCAAGUCCAACCCAGGCAAUGGGAAAAAAAAAUACAGGAUCUUGGAAAGUAAAACAUGAAGGCUAUCCCUGUAAAAUUCCCUCUCCCUGAAAUAUAAAACUUGUAGCUGAAAUAGCACCUGACUUCACUCUGUGAGUUAUUUUUGUGGUAAAUCCAUUU
Molecule: long non-coding RNA, 351 nt
Filed under: Monodelphis domestica (gray short-tailed opossum)
Lineage: Eukaryota; Metazoa; Chordata; Mammalia; Didelphimorphia; Didelphidae
Description: lncRNA (ENSMODG00000035939.2)
Source: RNAcentral